Non-coding RNA from Potamilus streckersoni, 73 nucleotides. The record is from the annotation of a GenBank genome assembly. NCBI's taxonomy places the organism in Eukaryota, Metazoa, Mollusca, Bivalvia, Unionida, Unionidae.
GCUCCGGUGGCCUAGCGGUUAGGGCGUCCGCAUCGUGUGCGAGAAUUCGCUGGUUCGAAACCCGGUUGAGUCA